This 497-nucleotide ribosomal RNA is filed under the name uncultured bacterium. Its description in RNAcentral is "partial 16S ribosomal RNA". It matches the Rfam family "Bacterial small subunit ribosomal RNA", at positions 28 to 507 of the family's 1533-position model. The record is from RNAcentral.
GAUGAACGCUGGCGGCGUGCCUAAUACAUGCAAGUCGAGCGAACAGACGAGGAGCUUGCUCCUCUGACGUUAGCGGCGGACGGGUGAGUAACACGUGGAUAACCUACCUAUAAGACUGGGAUAACUUCGGGAAACCGGAGCUAAUACCGGAUAAUAUAUUGAACCGCAUGGUUCAAUAGUGAAAGACGGUUUUGCUGUCACUUAUAGAUGGAUCCGCGCCGCAUUAGCUAGUUGGUAAGGUAACGGCUUACCGAGGCAACGAUGCGUAGCCGACCUGAGAGGGUGAUCGGCCACACUGGAGCUGAGACACGGUCCAGACUCCUACGGGAGGCAGCAGUAGGGAAUCUUCCGCAAUGGGCGAAAGCCUGACGGAGCAACGCCGCGUGAGUGAUGAAGGUCUUCGGAUCGUAAAACUCUGUUAUUAGGGAAGAACAAAUGUGUAAGUAACUAUGCACGUCUUGACGGUACCUAAUCAGAAAGCCACGGCUAACUACGUG